GAUGAACGCUGGCGGCGUGCCUAAUACAUGCAAGUCGAGCGAACGGACGAGAAGCUUGCUUCUCUGAUGUUAGCGGCGGACGGGUGAGUAACACGUGGAUAACCUACCUAUAAGACUGGGAUAACUUCGGGAAACCGGAGCUAAUACCGGAUAAUAUUUUGAACCGCAUGGUUCAAAAGUGAAAGACGGUCUUGCUGUCACUUAUAGAUGGAUCCGCGCUGCAUUAGCUAGUUGGUAAGGUAACGGCUUACCAAGGCAACGAUGCAUAGCCGACCUGAGAGGGUGAUCGGCCACACUGGAACUGAGACACGGUCCAGACUCCUACGGGAGGCAGCAGUAGGGAAUCUUCCGCAAUGGGCGAAAGCCUGACGGAGCAACGCCGCGUGAGUGAUGAAGGUCUCGGAUCGUAAAACUCUGUUAUUAGGGAAGAACAUAUGUGUAAGUAACUGUGCACAUCUUGACGGUACCUAAUCAGAAAGCCACGGCUAACUACGU
Molecule: ribosomal RNA, 495 nt
Filed under: uncultured bacterium
Lineage: Bacteria
Description: partial 16S ribosomal RNA
Rfam family: Bacterial small subunit ribosomal RNA
Source: RNAcentral